CCCUUAGAUGUUCUGGGCUGCACACGUGCUACACUGGCAGGUUCAGCGAGCUUCAUGCCCUGAUCUGAAAGGAAUGGGAAAUCUUUUCAAAACCUGCCGUGCUUGGGAUAGAUGUUUGCAAUUAUUCAUCUUCAACGAGGAUUGCCUUGUAAGCGCACGUCAUCAGCGUGCAUUGAAUACGACCCUGUAUUCUGUACACACCGCCCGUCGCUCCUACCGAUUGAAGUUUUCGGUGAGUUGACAGGAGGAUUUUUUUGAAACUGGUUCGCCAGUGGAUUUUAGAUCCAAAUGCCAACGAAUCGAGGGAUUUAGAGGAAGGAGAAGUCGUAACA
RNAcentral lists this ribosomal RNA (332 nucleotides) under uncultured eukaryote. RNAcentral describes it as "partial 18S ribosomal RNA". It matches the Rfam family "Eukaryotic small subunit ribosomal RNA", at positions 1470 to 1796 of the family's 1831-position model. The record is from RNAcentral.